AACGAACGCUGGCGGCAUGCCUAACACAUGCAAGUCGAACGAGACCUUCGGGUCUAGUGGCGCACGGGUGCGUAACGCGUGGGAACCUGCCCUUAGGUUCGGAAUAACUCCCCGAAAGGGGUGCUAAUACCGGAUAAUGUCUUCGGACCAAAGAUUUAUCGCCUUUGGAUGGGCCCGCGUUGGAUUAGCUAGUUGGUAGGGUAAAAGCCUACCAAGGCGACGAUCCAUAGCUGGUCUGAGAGGAUGAUCAGCCACACUGGGACUGAGACACGGCCCAGACUCCUACGGGAGGCAGCAGGGGGGAAUAUUGGACAAUGGGCGGAAGCCUGAACCAGCCAUGCCGCGUGAGGGAUGAAGGCCUUAGGGUUGGUAAGCUCUUUUACCCGGGAUGAUAAUGACAGUACCGGGAGAAUAAGCUCCGGCUAACUCCGUG
Molecule: ribosomal RNA, 433 nt
Filed under: uncultured bacterium
Lineage: Bacteria
Description: partial 16S ribosomal RNA
Rfam family: Bacterial small subunit ribosomal RNA
Source: RNAcentral